Molecule: RNA transcript, 2432 nt
Organism: Cucumis sativus (cucumber)
Lineage: Eukaryota; Viridiplantae; Streptophyta; Magnoliopsida; Cucurbitales; Cucurbitaceae
Gene name: K(+) efflux antiporter 6
Exons: 20
Source: RefSeq, a predicted model, not a curated record
GAGUACCGCCAGAAGUCGGCCAUGCGUGUAGCUUCGCGGCAUACAACAACGAUUCGUAUUUCAUAGAUAGACUUAGACUACACAUUGACCCUUUAACUCUGGUCUGGUUAGCCACUGACUCCCCCCAUCUCCUUCAAACGCUCUCUCCCUUCUUCCAUCCUUCCUUUAUUUAUUUAUUUAUUAUUAUUAUUAUUCAUUUUCUUAAUCUCCUCCCGAAUCCUUGUCUUCUCCUCUCCCAUGGUGUCCAACUAGCCGGCAACAUCACCCUUUCACCUCUCUGCAAUGUUGAACCUCUUCUCUUUGUCUCACCGCAUUUUCAUUUCCAUCUUCAUCUUCCUCUUCCUCGUCUCUCCGCCGUUGCUUCCUUCCUCCGCUCUUCCUCUCUCCGACUCCGAUCAACCGCUUCUCGCUAAUACUACGCUCCAGUCCAAUAAUGUUUCCGUUCCGAGGAAUAAGGAAGGUAGUUUUGCUGACAUCAUUGAUCGUGCUUUGGAGAAUGAGUUCAAGGAGAAUGACCAGAAUGAAGCAAUUGAUUCAGGAAGCUUCAACAACAGUGUAGCAGAGCAGCAGGCAACUCUGGAGACUGUGGCAAGGGUGAAGUCAAAGAAAAAUGAUACGAAAGAGGAAAAGUUUCAGCUUCAAAACGUUUUCAAUUUGGACAGUGAUAAUAGAGCUGAAGAUACCCCUACAUUGAUUGAUCGAAAGGACAAUGUCUUUAUCAUAUCCAACUUUAAGUCUAAAUAUCCAGUGCUACAAUUAGACUUGAGAUUGAUAUCUGAUUUGGUUAUCGUAAUUGUCUCUGCAACUUGUGGCGGCAUUGCCUUUGCCUGUGCUGGACAACCAGUUAUAACUGGAUACCUUCUAGCAGGAUCUAUUAUUGGACCUGGAGGAUUUAACUUUGUCAGUGAAAUGGUUCAAGUUGAAACGGUAGCUCAAUUUGGUGUAAUUUUUCUUCUUUUUGCACUGGGUUUGGAGUUCUCAACAACUAAGCUACGAGUUGUUCGUGCAGUUGCUGUUCUUGGCGGGCUUCUUCAAAUUUUCCUAUUUAUGUGCCUCAGUGGAAUCACAGCCUCGUCAUGUGGUGGGAGUGCUUCUGAAGGAGUUUUUGUCGGAGCAUUCCUAUCUAUGUCCUCAACAGCAGUGGUGCUGAAAUUUUUGAUGGAAAAGAACUCUACUAAUGCUCUUCAUGGACAAGUCACAAUUGGCACCCUUAUUCUGCAGGACUGUGCUGUUGGGUUACUGUUUGCUUUGCUUCCAGUACUAGGUGGGAAUUCUGGUAUUCUUCAAGGAGUGAUGUCUAUGAGUAAAGUGUUGGUGAUCUUGGUUGGUUUUUUGGUUGCUUUGUCAAUUUUAUCCCGUACAUGUAUUCCUUGGCUCUUAAAACUGAUGAUAAGUCUAUCAUCACAGACCAACGAACUUUAUCAAUUAGCCUCAGUGGCGUUCUGCUUGCUUGUAGCCUGGUGUAGUGAUAAGUUGGGCCUCAGUCUAGAAUUGGGUUCCUUUGCCGCUGGAGUGAUGAUAUCCACAACUGAUCUUGCUCAACACACACUUGAACAAAUAGAGCCUAUAAGGAACUUUUUUGCGGCCCUUUUUCUUGCCAGCAUUGGAAUGCUGAUACACGUUCAGUUUUUGUGGAACCACGUUGAUAUAUUAUUAGCAGCUGUUAUACUGGUGAUAAUUGUAAAAACAAUCGUAAUUAGCACAGUGGUGAAGGGAUUUGGGUAUAACAACAGGACAGCACUUUUGGUGAGGUUGGAAUGUCUUUGGCUCAGAUAGGAGAAUUUGCUUUUGUUCUUCUCAGCCGUGCUUCUAAUCUUCAUCUAGUUGAGGGGAAACUGUAUCUAUUGCUUAUUGGGACCACAGCCCUCAGUCUGGUGACAACUCCUUUUCUUUUCAAGCUAAUACCUGCUGUAGUACAUUUAGGCGUGCUAUUGCGGUGGUUUUCUCCAGAUAGUCUCGUUGAGAUUGGAUUGAAAGGAGACAUCAUUCGCUCGGACAGUGUAAAGCAACGGGUUAUGUUGAUAGUCCAGGGACCUCACGAUUCAUGACACUGAUUGUAUGUCAAUUGAAAAUGAAAUAUCAUUUUCUUCUCAAGGAGUCAAAUUCUGGCCAGCUUAUUCCCAUGUACAAGUGAAGUCGAUUGAACCACUCUGUAUAUUUGUUCAUGUUUUUCUAGCCAUAUAAAAGCGUGUCCAGAAUCAUUUUUUUGUUUCACUUAACUGACCACUAGAUUUGGAAAAAAGAAAAAAAAAACAGAUUAGAGAGUACUAGAGAUGGAUGACCAGAUAAGAGCCAGUACAAUAGAAGAACACUAUUGUAUUUGUCUUCUUCAGUAUGACCUGAUUCUUUGUAAAAUGUAUUAUAGUUUGGAUAUUUAUAAUGAAAUUGGUACUGCACAAAAUAAUCACUAUGCCUUUUUUUGCAGUGUAAAA